AUGGAUCACAACCCACAAAUUCUAUGCUGGAACGUGAGAGGAUUAAACAAUCCAGCUAAGAGGAAAGUAGUUAGAGAGUUCAUUGCCUCAUUGAGAGUCAACGUGGUGUGUUUACAGGAGACCAAAUUGGACACUGUGGAUUAGUUUUUAGUUUCGCAAUGCAUUGGGCCAUCUUUUGAUGGUUUUUCUUAUUUACCUGCGGUGGAAACGCGUGGAGGUAUUUUACUUGCUUGGGACUCCUCGAGUCUGAAGGUGGAUAGCAUACAGAUUGAUGCUAAUUUUCUAACAGGCAAAGUGAGACAACGGGAUGGUAACGAGUGGUGGAUCUCGUGGUGUAUGCCCCUCAGGGAGAUGAGCUUAAAACUCAAUUCCUCAACGAUCUUUUCGCCCGUAGACUACUAUUCCCCGGUCUGUGGAUGUGCCUCGGUGACUUUAAUAUGA
This 441-nucleotide ribosomal RNA is filed under the name Triticum aestivum (bread wheat). RNAcentral describes it as "partial small subunit ribosomal RNA". The record is from RNAcentral. Lineage: Eukaryota; Viridiplantae; Streptophyta; Magnoliopsida; Poales; Poaceae.